Molecule: ribosomal RNA, 511 nt
Filed under: uncultured bacterium
Lineage: Bacteria
Description: bacterial SSU rRNA
Rfam family: Bacterial small subunit ribosomal RNA
Source: RNAcentral
GACGAACGCUGGCGGCGUGCUUAACACAUGCAAGUCGAACGGAGUUACGUAUGAAGUAUUUCGGUACGGACUAUGUAACUUAGUGGCGAACGGGUGAGUAACACGUGGGCAACCUGCCCUUAACCGGGGGAUAACAUUGUGAAAACAGUGCUAAUACCGCAUAACAGAGUAUCGGGCAUCCGAUAUUUUAAAAGGAGCAAUCCGGUUUUGGAUGGGCCCGCGUCCAAUUAGCUAGUUGGUGAGGUAACGGCUCACCAAGGCUACGAUUGGUAGCCGAACUGAGAGGUUGAUCGGCCACAUUGGGACUGAGACACGGCCCAGACUCCUACGGGAGGCAGCAGUGAGGAAUCUUGGUCAAUGGACGGAAGUCUGAACCAGCCAUGUCGCGUGAAGGAGGACGGCCCUAAGGGUUGUAAACUUCUUUUGCAGCGGAAUAAAGUAUUCCACGAGAUGGGAUAUUGCAAGUACGCUGCGAAUAAGGAUCGGCUAACUCCGUGCCAGCAGCCGCGGU